UUUCCCUCGUCCUCUCUCUCUCUCUCUUUCUCGCUCUCUCUGUCGCUCAGCUCUCUUGCUCGUGCACGCUAAUUUUAGCGAUCAGCCAUUUUGGACAUCCAUAAGGCACGAUGCGCACGAGUGAGGGAGCGAACUAUGAUCCCCUUGCUCUCCUACGGAAAUAAGCGUGUCCCUCUUCUCCGACGACGACGCCUCGAGUGCGUGUCGCAUGAACGAUGAUGCGUCAUUGCCAUCGCGGGGGAAGAAUCUCUCUUGAACCGGUCUCGCGAAUUGCGCACACGCUGCACGUAUCUCGGCCCUGCUUGCUCGGUCGCACUCGUGGCUCCCGUGUUGGACACAAAACUGAUACCUUCUUAUCGAUGAUCGGCCCCGCCGAUAAAAGGAAUGUCGCGACCGCAUGCGACUGUAUUUCUGGAUAAACGCGUUUUUUUUUUGCGAUGUUCCCUGCUGAUCGAAACACGCAUCGGAAAAUUGUGUAUUGCACCUUGAGGAAGUAAAGCUUCACAUGUCAUGUAUUCGAAACUGAUCCUGCAAUGUUGCGAUAUUUUUAUUGAUGGAUUCGCCUCGAUGUAGUCUUCGAAGCUUGAACAUCUGUUUGUUUAUACAAAAAUCAAACGAACAGUUUAGCCCCAAAAUACAUAGGUAUCUAGUGCAAAUAUCUUGGCCUUUUAUCUGUUUGUUCUUCGCAACAUAUCUUCAAUACGUUCUCUACAUUAAGAAGAAGAAGGUAGCUGUGGGGAACAUAGUGAUUUAACUCGAAGCAAGUGCUUUAUUGUUGUAUCGUUGCUCGGCAGUGUCUAUUUAUUAGUGUACAUUCAGAAUGUACAGCGUUGGAUCAGACGAAUAACAGAUAUUCUUGUAAACAAUUUGCAUCACGCGUCCGAUGUAUUCGGCAUUACAAAUUUGCAUGCUGCGAACAUUUGAAAAUGAUAUUACACAAUGAUUAAGCUUAUAUAACUACAUAAAAUGAUUUGAACUUCGCGGUAUGACAUGCUCGUUUGGAGAAAACGUGAGAAACUUAUUGAAUUAAUUUUCCUAUGUCGUCAUGCCUAACCAUCGAUUAUCCAUUUUCUCAUUUCUCCCUCUCGUGUUUUUAUAUGAAAAUUGUAUAUGUUUUAAGAUUAUAAGAUUAACAAAAUCCCAAGAAAUAUCUUUUUUUUCAUCUCCAUUAGUGUUUCAAGCACUUCUGAUAACAUUAAAAAACAUUCAAUAUGUUGAUUGCUGAUAUCUCACAUCUCCAUUUUCAAAGAUUUUUCAAGUAUAAAGUAUCAUGAAUCUUUCGCUUGCCCGUCUUUAUCAAUGUUAAUAAAUCAAAAUGCCAGAAAUGUAUUAUAAUAUCUCGUUAUUUAAAUAAUCGAUAUUUUAAUAUCGGUUAAAGAAAUACAUAGAAUACAAUAGCUCCCCUUGAAAUAUGUAAUAUGAAUAUUUAUACAUUAUUUCGUAAUGUAACAAUUACUACAUUUACACGAGCGCUACUUCCGUAGUAACUUACUCGAAUUAUAAUAACUUACGAUAAUUCUCUGCGUGUAAACGGGGUAAACCGAUAAUUCACUGCGUGUAAACGGGGUAAGUUACUAUAAUUCGAGUAAGUUACUACAGAAGUAGCGCUCGUGUAAAUGUAGUAAUUGUCGCAAUAAAGAGUAGAUAAAGAAAGAACGAACGAAUUUACGAACGAAUGCUUCGUACGUCGUUUACAUAUCGUACAAAUUGCGAAUUGCUGUGUCAUCUAAUGAUAAGUACUCCACUGGUUCAAUAGUGAUCGCUUAGUAACUCGUCUAUCGCUUAAAUUAGAUAUUACAAUGCAUAUCUGCCAUUUUUGUUCACUAAUAUUGUUGGGAUAAUAUCGAUUACGCUAUUUUUCUAUAGAAUUUUAUUUAAAUUGUAAUCGAUCAGUUUGUAAUAUCUUAUAUCCAAGAAAUCUCUAACAAUUAAGAUACGAUAUCAGCAGUGAUAUUAAAUAUUUAUUGUUAUCAAUGGUAACCUUAUCUGAUAUAAUCACAAUUUUUGUUUCAAUUUAUUUUUUGUUUUUUUAUGUGACAAAUUUUUUAUCCAAAUAUUUAAUAAAGCAGAUAAAAGUUAAUACAUAUUAAAUUUAAUAUUAAUCUCAUAAAUUUACGAUAAAUCUACUUGGAUUUAAUAAAAUUAAAUAAAAUUCAUUUUAUAUUACAAUUUAAUAAAGAUAUUAUUUUUCACGGUACAUCUGUAAUGCUCGUGAUUUCGCACUAUUUAGAUUUAGAUGUUUGAUAUAUGUAUUUAAUUAGAUUACAUGACGUUAUAAAAAAAUGCUUAAAUAGCUAUCGGUGAAUAUCGGAGGCUAAACAAUCUAUAUGUAAAUAAUCGUAAAGAAUUUUUCUAUUUCGCAGUUUUUGUUUUUUCCAUUACUCUUUCUCUCUUAAUUUCAUCGUGAUGGGCAAUGAGAAUUAAUCUGUAUUUAUAUUAUUUAUACACUCCUAUCAAUAAAUAUAAACGAAACUUUUCUCGAUCAGCUAUCAAUACAGAAAAUUUAUCUCUGAAGGUUGAACAUUUUACAGCAUUAAAAUGUGUAUGAAUAAUUUAUAUAUAUUUUAUAUGGAUGGACAAGAAAAAAUAUAAAUAAUUAUUUAGCUAGAUAGCUAUUUAAAUAGAUAUUUAAAAAUUUUUAAUUCUCCCUCUCUGCGUAUACGCGCGCUUUUGCUCUCAUUAUUUCUCUUUUUCUUCUUCAAAUUAAAUAAUAAUGAUAAAAAUAUUAAGAAUAAAAGCACAGUGUAUUAAUUAAGAAUUAAAAACAUUGUUUUGUUGCAUCCUAUGUACUUUUUCAAAGGAAUAGGUGCUUUUAAGUUGCAAAGAUAAUUUGAGAUUAUUUCAUUAAACGGUGAUAAGUUAAAUGUUCCUCCUUUGUUCGCACGAGAAUCGCAAGAUGUUUUUUGUAUUUAUCUGACUAAGAUGGCCUGCCGCUUUGACCCUUAAACAUGUAUAGCGUUUUCGAUAACGAUGCAAAAUAAUACUUCUUAAUCAAACGUUAGUGGUUCUCAUGUCAGUACGAGACAUAAAAUUUCCGCAAUACAAACAUCUCGCAUACGAAUAAAUACUCUGCGAUUUAUCGCGUUGCAAUUCUACGUUUUGCGAUAUAUGUGCCGUAUAUAUAUAUAUCGAUAUAAAUAAAACAUAUGUAACAUUAUACAUAAUAUUUCAUAGAGAUAACAUAAAAUAAUCUUGCCAUUUGCUAUAGUGCAGCCGAGAGAGGAAUGUGUUGUCUUCUAAGAACGAUAUGAUAAUAUUUAUUGGAAGGAAUGUGUUUUUGUCAGCAAUGAAGUGACAUUACAAGUCACGCGCAUUCACUUUCUCUGAAUCCGAAUCGCCAGCAGCUUCUCGCAAGCAAAAGCAAAAGCAUGCCAGAACGGGUUUCAUGGCGAGGAAAGCAUUUGUCGGGGAUUGUCAAGCCGACACUCACGAUCGACAACAGCAUAAACAAAACUUCUAAAUUAUUUAUCAAAUUAAAUAUUUGUUUAUUCAAUACGCACACAUGCACAUUAUUCAAAAUAUGUUUGCCAUUUAAUUUAAUUGGACACAGAGAUAGUCAGGAAAACCGUAAACGAAAAUCGUAACGAGAUUUCCAAUUUGGUCCGGACCUGGGUCAACCUAUUCCACGACCUUCCACCAGGUCUUUCACGUUACUCGUGAAUCAUUAAACAGAAUCACUCCCACUGAUCAGCCAACCGCAAGAUAUUUCUACGAGGCACUGUUCAAUUCUUGUUCACGGGAUUAGGAUUCAAUUUUGAGAGAUUAAUCUAAUCUCGCGCAUGCGAGUGUGUAUUAAUGUCGUGUUCAUUGUAUAGAUAUCCGUCGUUCGAUCGGCGAGCUACUACGAACCGAGCCGAGCACUCGGUAGUAGACGUAGAGUGACCUUGCCCGAAGAUUACUUUUCUCUAGAGGAGACAUCGGCGUACGAAUCGGCGCCGUUACCCGGAUCAAUAUACCGGCGCUGGUGCCGAAGACGCGUGCGCACCGCAGGGUAGACCGACCCGGGUCCCGAGAGUCGUCAAACCACGAAGAGACGAGCGACUAGUCCAGUUGUGCUAGCGAGAGGCCGACCUCCUCGACUCGCGAGCCUACCCCUGCGCGAGAAUCGAUUCUCUCUCGGCGACACGACAGACCUGCUCCACUUUUUCCCUUCUCUCUCUAACUCUGUCUGUCUAUCUGUCUGCUCUCGGACUUCGUCGUUCUUCUCUCUCCCUCUCUGCUCCCGGGAGUGUGCUGUCGAGGGAAAAAGAUCUGGGUACACCUGGUGAUCAACGACAGCGACUGCGGCAGCCGCGUCACCGUCGCAAAUCACGACUUAUGCGUCUGUACCGAGCAGAAGGACAUUCAGUCCCAUUCAGUCCUUGCGACUUUCACUAUCAUGAUCCUGAUACAGUCCGUUUCGCCCGAAAAUCAUCCGGAUGAUCGUUAACGUCCUAACCGGAUGAGACACACCGGUCUGAUGACAUCAUCUAUGCCC
Ooceraea biroi (clonal raider ant) is the source of this 4477-nucleotide long non-coding RNA. RefSeq lists it as uncharacterized. NCBI's taxonomy places the organism in Eukaryota, Metazoa, Arthropoda, Insecta, Hymenoptera, Formicidae. The record is from RefSeq and is a predicted model, not a curated record.